RNAcentral lists this ribosomal RNA (301 nucleotides) under uncultured bacterium. Its description in RNAcentral is "partial 16S ribosomal RNA". It matches the Rfam family "Bacterial small subunit ribosomal RNA", at positions 509 to 807 of the family's 1533-position model. The record is from RNAcentral.
CAGCAGCCGCGGGAAUACGAAGGGGGCUAGCGUUGCUCGGAAUGACUGGGCGUAAAGGGCGCGUAGGCGGAUUGCACAGUCAGACGUGAAAUUCCUGGGCUCAACCUGGGGACUGCGUUUGAGACGUGCGAUCUAGAGUUUGGAAGAGGGUCGUGGAAUUCCCAGUGUAGAGGUGAAAUUCGUAGAUAUUGGGAAGAACACCGGUGGCGAAGGCGGCGACCUGGUCCUUGACUGACGCUGAGGCGCGAAAGCGUGGGGAGCAAACAGGAUUAGAUACCCCCGUAGUCCCUGUCUCUUAUAC